RNAcentral lists this non-coding RNA (21 nucleotides) under Arabidopsis thaliana (thale cress). The record is from RNAcentral. Lineage: Eukaryota; Viridiplantae; Streptophyta; Magnoliopsida; Brassicales; Brassicaceae.
UCUGCUUUCUGUGCCACCUUC